This 440-nucleotide ribosomal RNA is filed under the name uncultured bacterium. RNAcentral describes it as "partial 16S ribosomal RNA". It matches the Rfam family "Bacterial small subunit ribosomal RNA", at positions 338 to 795 of the family's 1533-position model. The record is from RNAcentral.
CCUACGGGAGGCAGCAGUAGGGAAUAUUGCUCAAUGGGGGAAACCCUGAAGCAGCAACGCCGCGUGGAGGAUGAAGGUCUUCGGAUUGUAAACUCCUUUUGUUAGAGAAGAUAAUGACGGUAUCUAACGAAUAAGCACCGGAUAACGCCGUGCCAGCAGCCGCGGUAAUACGGAGGGUGCAAGCGUUACUCGGAAUCACUGGGCGUAAAGAGCGCGUAGGGGGGAUAGCAAGUCAGAUGUGAAAUCAUAUAGCUUAACCAUAGUACUGCAGUUGAAACUGUUGUUCUAGAGUGAGUGAGAAGUAGGCGGAAUGCGUGGUGUAGCGGUGAAAUGCAUAGAGAUCACGAAGAACUCUGAUUGCGAAGGCAGCAUACCGGCGCUCAACUGACGCUGAUGCACGAAAGCGUGGGUAGCGAACAGGAUUAGAUACCCGAGUAGUC